GACGAACGCUGGCGGCGUGCUUAACACAUGCAAGUCGAACGGAAAGGCCCUGCUUUUGUGGGGUGCUCGAGUGGCGAACGGGUGAGUAACACGUGAGUAACCUGCCCUUGACUUUGGGAUAACUUCAGGAAACUGGGGCUAAUACCGGAUAGGAGCUCCUGCUGCAUGGUGGGGGUUGGAAAGUUUCGGCGGUUGGGGAUGGACUCGCGGCUUAUCAGCUUGUUGGUGGGGUAGUGGCUUACCAAGGCUUUGACGGGUAGCCGGCCUGAGAGGGUGACCGGCCACAUUGGGACUGAGAUACGGACCAGACUCCUACGGGAGGCAGCAGUGGGGAAUAUUGCACAAUGGGCGGAAGCCUGAUGCAGCAACGCCGCGUGCUGGAUGACGGCCUUCGGGUUGUAAACCGCUUUCGCCUGUGACGAAGCGUGAGUGACGGUAAUGGGUAAAGAAGCACCGGCUAACUACGUG
Molecule: ribosomal RNA, 468 nt
Filed under: uncultured bacterium
Lineage: Bacteria
Description: partial 16S ribosomal RNA
Rfam family: Bacterial small subunit ribosomal RNA
Source: RNAcentral